Molecule: ribosomal RNA, 446 nt
Filed under: uncultured bacterium
Lineage: Bacteria
Description: bacterial SSU rRNA
Rfam family: Bacterial small subunit ribosomal RNA
Source: RNAcentral
UGGGGAAUAUUGGACAAUGGGGGCAACCCUGAUCCAGCCAUGCCGCGUGUGUGAAGAAGGCCUUAGGGUUGUAAAACACUUUCAGCGGGGAAGAUGAUGACGGUACCCGCAGAAGAAGCCCCGGCUAACUCCGUGCCAGCAGCCGCGGUAAUACGGAGGGGCUAGCGUUGUUCGGAAUUACUGGGCGUAAAGGGCGUGUAGGCGGCCUGCCAAGUCAGAUGUGAAAGCCCCGGGCUUAACCUGGGAACUGCAUUUGAGACUGGCCGGCUAGAGGUUGGAAGAGGAGAGUGGAAUUCCCAGUGUAGAGGUGAAAUUCGUAGAUAUUGGGAAGAACACCAGUGGCGAAGGCGGCUCUCUGGUCCACACCUGACGCUGAGGCGCGAAAGCGUGGGGAGCAAACAGGAUUAGAUACCCCCGUAGUCCCUGAGCGGGCUGGCAAGGCGCAU